GUGGACAUUUCUCUAGGCCUUGGGACUUGCCAGGAAGAGGGUAGACCAGAUGCCUCCAACCUCUCAGGGCAAAGCCAAUGGACAGGCUGAAGCACCAGUGGUAUCGCCGUCUCCUGGCACUGUGGUUGGUAGGUUCGGGGUGGCUGCUGGAGCAGCCCCGCUGGCAGGGGGUGCUGGACAACAUUGCUUGCCUGCUGAGCUGGGUGAACUCUGGGACGGGCUCCAUGGAAAAUGGACUUUUCUCUUCCUGCUUCCCUAACCCUGCAGUGCACAUACCUCUCGGAGCACCUGCUGUCUUUGCUUGGGGAAAGCCUGGUUCUUCAGGCCCCCGUUUGGUCCUGCCGGCCCAGAGGGCUGUGCUCGUGUGGAAUGGGCACCUCUCAGCACCACAGCCCUGUGAAGGGGCCGAGGGUGUUACCUGCCUACACCAAGGGGGUGGUACAGAGCCUGGCAGGCACAAAGAGCAAGGACAGGCUGAGGGCUCACCUCACCCCUUCCCGAAGCAGAAGCUUUCCCCGUUACCAGCUGUGUGGAGGACUUUCUAGAGGCAGGGGGAUGGCUGUGAUGGCUGUGAUGACAUCUCACAGGCCAUCCUCCCUGAAGAGCCUGCUUCCCGUGCAGUGAGUUUACCAGCGCGUAUGGUGCAGUAGGGAUUGCAGGCCUGAGAAACAGACCCUCGGCUCAGAUCCAGAGCGUUUUCUGGAAAGGCCAGUCCUUUCAUUCAGCUCCUAAGCACACUCCCCUGCCAUUCCCAAGCCCGGCUGUAUCCGGGCAGGUGUAGGAGGAAAGCCGGGGGGAGAGGACCCCCCAAACUGGCUUCCCAGCCCCCUGCUAUUCACCCUGUCCCCUUUCACCACGAGAGAGCUGCUCCUCGGGUUUCCUGGCAGCACAGCUGGCCACAGCCUGGGCCAAAGUUACUUGCUCUCAGGGUCAAACAACAGAAUUGGCUCAGUGCUGGGCUACAUUUUCUUACCUGCAGAAAGAGUACAUGUAUCUGUGGGCUCGACCUUCAACUGACUGAUUAUUCAGUGAUGCAAGCACUGCUAAUACCUUUGUGGCUUAAACGUGUGGCAAACGAUGCUUUAGUAGAGUCUCAAGGACAUAGCCCUGCUCCUGCCCAGGCCCCCUGGCAAGAGGCUAGAAGCUCCAAUCACAGACUAAGUCGGUGGCAGGUGAUCCAUUACUGGGGGGGGGGGUCAUCGUCACCCUCCCGAAACUGAUUCUAGCUGCAGCAACAGCUAAAGGCUUAUCGUUAGGCUCAGGACCCCCCUCUCUCUCUCUGAGGCUGGAUACCUUUGGUUUCAAAGUGGAUUCGGUGGGGAGGAUGAAGGCAGUGCCUUGGGUCUCUGAGAACUGUAGGUCUUCGAGUGUCUCCAUCGGGGGCAACGUUUGGAGUGGCUGCUUCGGGUUCUGCUGUGGCGCUUGCAUAGGCUGCCCUGUUCCUCUUGAGUUAUCAGGGCGUGCAGGGAGGGGCUGGGGACCUGGGAACCGCAGGGACAGGCUAGAGCUGCGUAAGGCGUACGAAGAGCAUUCCCGGACCAGGCU
RNAcentral lists this long non-coding RNA (1545 nucleotides) under Sus scrofa (pig). RNAcentral's name for it is "lncRNA (ENSSSCG00070019959.1)". Lineage: Eukaryota; Metazoa; Chordata; Mammalia; Artiodactyla; Suidae. The record is from RNAcentral.